Molecule: ribosomal RNA, 267 nt
Filed under: uncultured bacterium
Lineage: Bacteria
Description: partial 16S ribosomal RNA
Rfam family: Bacterial small subunit ribosomal RNA
Source: RNAcentral
GAUCAUGGCUCAGGAUGAACGCUAGCGGCAGGCCUAACACAUGCAAGUCGAGGGGCAGCACGGUGUAGCAAUACACUGGUGGCGACCGGCGCACGGGUGCGUAACGCGUAUGCAACCUACCCAUAACAGGGGGAGUAACACUGAGAAAUUGGUACUAAUACCCACUAACAUCAGGACCGGGCCGAUCGGUUCCGUUGGUUUGGUAAAACUAACCGGUCGGGUUAGUUGGUAGUGGGCGGAUGCGUUGGUUAUUAGUACUGGUUUGGG